AUGCAUCAAAUUAGACUUAAAGUAUCUAACAUCCAACACAUCAAUUUUCAUAGAAUUAGAUACAUGAAAAACAUGUCAGAUGGUUGGAAAGAUUACGUAGUUUGGUGUCCUAUUUUUACCUACCUCACCAAAUAUCGUGCAUACCUAAAAAUAACAUACAAAGAAACAACGUCAGAUCAGAUACGCAUUCGACAAACUUAUAUUGUGAAAUCAUGUAUAUUAUGUGAGUCUACACUUCUCACAUACGCAAUGCAAACGAUUGAUGAUUUCCUCGCAAGUUUUUGCUACAUCAUGAAAUCUGUUUACAAAAGUUUUGUUUAA
RNAcentral lists this ribosomal RNA (321 nucleotides) under Triticum aestivum (bread wheat). Its description in RNAcentral is "partial small subunit ribosomal RNA". The record is from RNAcentral. Lineage: Eukaryota; Viridiplantae; Streptophyta; Magnoliopsida; Poales; Poaceae.